This 397-nucleotide ribosomal RNA is filed under the name uncultured bacterium. Its description in RNAcentral is "bacterial SSU rRNA". It matches the Rfam family "Bacterial small subunit ribosomal RNA", at positions 28 to 417 of the family's 1533-position model. The record is from RNAcentral.
GACGAACGCUGGCGGCGUGCCUAACACAUGCAAGUUGAGCGACGAACCAGGGCUUGCCCUGGGGCAAAGCAGCGAACGGGUGAGUAACACGUGGGUAACCUGCCCCGAUUACCGGGACAACCCGAGGAAACUCGGGCUAAUACCGGAUGUGCUCGUCAGACCCAAGUCUGACGCGUAAAGGAAGCUUCGGCCUCCGAUUCGGGAGGGGCCCGCGGCCCAUUAGUUAGUUGGUGAGGUAACGGCUCACCAAGACCGCGAUGGGUAGCUGGUCUGAGAGGACGAUCAGCCACACUGGGACUGAGACACGGCCCAGACUCCUACGGGAGGGCAGCAGUGGGGAAUCUUGCGCAAUGCGCGAAAGCGUGACGCAGCAACGCCGCGUGAGGGAAGACGGCCU